GACGAACGCUGGCGGCGUGCUUAACACAUGCAAGUCGAACGGAAAGGCCCUGCUUUUGUGGGGUGCUCGAGUGGCGAACGGGGGAGUAACACGUGAGUAACCUGCGCUUGACAUUGGGAUAACAUCAGGAAACUGGGGCUAAUACAGGAUAGGAGCCCCUGCUGCAGGGUGGGGGUGGGAAAGUUUCGGCGGUUGGGGAUGGACUCGCGGCUUAUCAGCUUGUUGGUGGGGUAGUGGCUUACCAAGGCAUUGACGGGUAGCCGGCCUGAGAGGGUGACCGGCCACAUUGGAACUGAGAUACGGCCCAGACUGCGACGGGAGGCAGCAGUGGGGAAUAUUGCACAAUGGGCGGAAGCCUGAUGCAGAAACGCCGCGUGCGGGAUGACGCCCUUCGGGUUGUAAACCGCUUUCGCCUGUGACGAAGCGUGAGUGACGGUAAUGGGUAAAGAAGCACCGGCUAACUACGUG
This 468-nucleotide ribosomal RNA is filed under the name uncultured bacterium. RNAcentral's name for it is "partial 16S ribosomal RNA". It matches the Rfam family "Bacterial small subunit ribosomal RNA", at positions 28 to 507 of the family's 1533-position model. The record is from RNAcentral.